UGCAGUCGAGCGCCCCGCAAGGGGAGCGGCAGACGGGUGAGUAACGCGUGGGAAUGAACCCUUUUCUACGGAAUAACGCAGGGAAACUUGUGCUAAUACCGUAUAAGCCCUUCGGGGGAAAGAUUUAUCGGGAAAGGAUGAGCCCGCGUUGGAUUAGCUAGUUGGUGGGGUAAAGGCCUACCAAGGCGACGAUCCAUAGCUGGUCUGAGAGGAUGAUCAGCCACAUUGGGACUGAGACACGGCCCAAACUCCUACGGGAGGCAGCAGUGGGGAAUAUUGGACAAUGGGCGCAAGCCUGAUCCAGCCAUGCCGCGUGAGUGAUGAAGGCCCUAGGGUUGUAAAGCUCUUUCACCGGUGAAGAUAAUGACGGUAACCGGAGAAGAAGCCCCGGCUAACUUCGUGCCAGCAGCCGCGGUAAUACGAAGGGGGCUAGCGUUGUUCGGAAUUACUGGGCGUAAAGCGCACGUAGGCGGACAUUUAAGUCAGGGGUGAAAUCCCGGGGCUCAACCCCGGAACUGCCUUUGAUACUGGGUGUCUAGAGUAUGGAAGAGGUGAGUGGAAUUCCGAGUGUAGAGGUGAAAUUCGUAGAUAUUCGGAGGAACACCAGUGGCGAAGGCGGCUCACUGGUCCAUUACUGACGCUGAGGUGCGAAAGCGUGGGGAGCAACAGGAUUAGAUACCCUGGUAGUCCACGCCGUAACGAUGAAUGUUAGCCGUCGGGCAGUUUACUGUUCGGUGGCGCAGCUAACGCAUU
RNAcentral lists this ribosomal RNA (753 nucleotides) under Sinorhizobium sp. AMF1004. Its description in RNAcentral is "bacterial SSU rRNA". It matches the Rfam family "Bacterial small subunit ribosomal RNA", at positions 56 to 861 of the family's 1533-position model. Lineage: Bacteria; Pseudomonadati; Pseudomonadota; Alphaproteobacteria; Hyphomicrobiales; Rhizobiaceae. The record is from RNAcentral.